AGGCGCUGGGCAGGGUGCGAUGGGCAGGGUGUGACGGGUAGGGCAAAGAACACCCAUCCCGGUCACCCCUGGCUUUCAGCGGGGCCGCCUCGGUGUUGAUUUUGCGCGCUCCGCCCCCCUCCCCCCCCCCCCCCCCUCCCCUCCCCUUCCCUUCCCUUCCCUUCCCUUCCCUUCCCUUCCCUUCCCCCCCCCGCAAAAACCUCAUCCUACUUACAGUGCCGACCGCAAGCGCCCAGCAGUCAUGAGUCAGCCGUGCUGAGCAUCGCACGGGGAGGUGAGCGCUCCCGGGACUGAAAACAAAAACAAAACCCCGACAAUCCCGAGGCGGGAGCGCUGAUUGUUCUUCGCCUCCUCUCGGGGGGGUGUGUGUGUGUGUGUGUUUGUCUGUGUGUGUGAAGAGCCUGAAUCCGAGCUCUUUUCCCACCCCGAGGCUUGGCGCCAUGGUUCCUUUUGCCAAGUGGAAAGCUGUGAUUCCUGCAAAUUAUCCUGGUGCCGGCAGCCAGGACUUCUGAACGAGACCCCGAAUGUCAAUGGACAUGAAAUGCAGUUGGGAGAACGGUGCAGCCAAACAUAUAUUCCAGACAAAUAUGAGUUAUUUGAAGAGGCAUCAUGUAUGGUUUCUCAAAACAAUACCAAAUUUGUCAAGCAAUAACAACGAAAUGAGGUAAGAAUGAAUGUGAAGAGGUACAAUUUAGAAGUUGUCCCAAGAAUACUUAAGGAGUAACUUGUUGUGAAUGCUGCAAUGCAUCCUCUGGAAAAGGCGGCAUCCACACAUUCAACAACAUGUGUUGGCU
Parus major (Great Tit) is the source of this 794-nucleotide long non-coding RNA. Lineage: Eukaryota; Metazoa; Chordata; Aves; Passeriformes; Paridae. The record is from Ensembl.